AUGAGAUUGCGACGAUUCAGGGACACUUCUUCUGGGCUGGUGAGGUCGAUAAGCAGAAAUACCACAUGGUUCGGUGGUUGGAGAUUUGUAAACCUCGUGAUCAGGGCGGACUUGGGUCAUGUCCUCCAAACGCAUGAACAUUGCUCUCCUGACUUUGGCGAUUGCGAACGACGAGGGUGGCUUGUGGCUCCAUAUCAUCCAGUAGAAAUACCUCAGCGGCCAACCACUAGCUUCUGCCAGCGGACCGGUGGCUCACAGUUCUGGCAAUCCAUCAUAGAGUUGCUCCCAGUCCUCCGCAUCGGGUCCUCGAUUGUGGUUGGAUCUGGCACUGCCAUGCUGUUUUGGUUCGAUAGAUGGGUUGGGGACACUCCCUUCGCCGCUCGCUUCCCUGACAUGUUCUCCAUCGCGGUAGAUCCGCGGAUUUCUGUCGCGGCGGCCCUUGACUUAGGGUGUCUCGCGUUUCGGCGUCCUUUUGGACCAGAGGAGAAUGAGGCAUGGUAGGACCUGCUUGAUUGCAUUACUUUGCACGAGUCGGAUGUGGAGAUUGGAGAGGUCCGCACCAGGUGGCGACUAGAGCCUUUUGGGCAAUUCUCCUCUAAAUCUCUUUACCAGGCUAUGGCCCCUUCGCCAGGUCCUGAGGCUCUCACCACUAUCCGGGCGAUCCGGCUCCCCUUAAAGAUUAGGAUCUUCUUAUGGCAAUGGAUUCGUGGCCGCCUUCCGACCGGCAUCGAGGCCUUAAAACGCGAUGGCCCAGGUGAUGGGCAAUGCCCGCUCCGCGGGACUGAAGAGGAUACGAACCAUAUUUUCUUCUCCUGCAUGUCCGCGCAGUUCCUCUGGAGCUGUUUCCGUGAUUUAGUGGGUGGAAGUUGGGAUCACAACAACUUCCCCGCUCUAUUUGCCGAACUUCAGUCGUUGCCACCCGUAUAUCGCCACAUUAGGUGGCUGACCGUCGGUGUGCUAGUCUAG
This 966-nucleotide ribosomal RNA is filed under the name Triticum aestivum (bread wheat). RNAcentral's name for it is "partial small subunit ribosomal RNA". The record is from RNAcentral. Lineage: Eukaryota; Viridiplantae; Streptophyta; Magnoliopsida; Poales; Poaceae.